Molecule: ribosomal RNA, 253 nt
Filed under: uncultured bacterium
Lineage: Bacteria
Description: partial 16S ribosomal RNA
Rfam family: Bacterial small subunit ribosomal RNA
Source: RNAcentral
UACAGAGGGGGCAAGCGUUGUUCGGAAUUACUGGGCGUAAAGGGCUCGUAGGCGGCCAACUAAGUCAUACGUGAAAUCCCUCAGCUUAACUGGGGAACUGCGUGUGAUACUGGAUGGCUUGGAUUUGGGAGAGGGAUGCGGAAUUCCAGGUGUAGCGGUGAAAUGCGUAGAUAUCUGGAGGAACACCGGCGGCGAAGGCGGCAUCCUGGACCAAUAUUGACGCUGAGGAGCGAAAGCCAGGGGAGCAAACGGG